GACGUAGGGCGCGAGCGUUGUCCGGAUUUAUUGGGCGUAAAGGGCUCGUAGGCGGUCUGUUGCGUCGGGUGUGAAAACUUACAGCUUAACUGUGAGCGUGCUCCCGAUACGGGCAGACUUGAGGUAUUCAGGGGAGAACGGAAUUCCUGGUGUAGCGGUGAAAUGCGCAGAUAUCAGGAGGAACACCGGUGGCGAAGGCGGUUCUCUGGGAAUAUCCUGACGCUGAGGAGCGAAAGUGUGGGGAGCGAACAGG
RNAcentral lists this ribosomal RNA (253 nucleotides) under uncultured bacterium. RNAcentral's name for it is "partial 16S ribosomal RNA". It matches the Rfam family "Bacterial small subunit ribosomal RNA", at positions 524 to 776 of the family's 1533-position model. The record is from RNAcentral.